GAACAUCUUACGGAUGGCCCAGGGCUCCAAAGGCUCGUUUCCUAAGUGAGAGAGAGCCUGGCUGAAGCUGUAUUACCAUUCAUUCUCCAGCCUCCGAAGUCUCAAAGCAUCACUUCCACCAUACUCUAACUGUCAAGACAAACACAAAGGCCCAGAAACUGCCAGACUGUCUUCUGAAGUGGCUAUAAUAUUUACACUCCCAUCAGCAGUGUAGAAGGGGUCUCACUAUGUUGUCUGGAGUGCUGUGGUGGAGUGGAGUGGCUAUUCACAGCUGAGUUUGCAGAGUAAACCACUACCCUGAAAUCUGGAAAGGCAGGUGCACCCACAGAUCCUCAGCUGAGAUCCAAUUACCUGAAAUAGAAGCUGCCAUUAGGAACACUUAAAAGAGCCUGUUCUGCUGGGACACAGAAUCACUUGCUCCAUCUCAUACAUUGAUGAUGAUUAAUUUGUAUGUGUACCUUCCAAAAAAGAUGGUUGUGUUUGAAUGGAGGCCUUCUGGACAGGAAAAUAAUCACAUCCUUCCUGAGAUAAUGAGCACACAAUUGCCUGGAUACCUGAAGGAAUGGAGACAGCGGCAGAAAACACUGCAGAGAGGUGGAAACAUCCGUUAAUAUUUUAAAAUCCCAUUACUGCUACCAACAAUAAUAAUGGAUGCAUAGAAAUAGAUCUGGAUUAGCUGAGCUUGAAACAGUCCAUCUCACACACACACAAAAGAAUUUCAGAUACAGUGAACCCACAUGUUGAAGCUUUCUAGUAUAAUAAAAAUUUCAACUGUUCUGUUGAAUCAUCUGCCUGAUUGGAGGCUACAGAAAAGAUGUCAUCUUAGGAGUGCUUGCUCUGAGUGAGGCUCAUCUUCAAAUCUGAAUGACCACAAGGAGAUUUGAUUAUACAUGUGAACACCUCAGAAGGCACAGCCCACCCAGAAGGCAGACAGGAGGAGACAGACACUAGAGCUCACCGGCUCGCCCUCUCACUCCUACUCAUCUGAGAAGGCAGCCAGCUAACCCUUCAGCCAGGAAGAGGGUCCUCAUCAGAACCUGGCCGUGGUGGCAUCCAGAUCUUGAACCUCCGGACUCCAGACUGUGAGAAAAUAAGUGUGUUGUUUAAACUA
Molecule: long non-coding RNA, 1111 nt
Filed under: Homo sapiens (human)
Lineage: Eukaryota; Metazoa; Chordata; Mammalia; Primates; Hominidae
Description: long intergenic non-protein coding RNA 635
Source: RNAcentral